Molecule: ribosomal RNA, 252 nt
Filed under: uncultured bacterium
Lineage: Bacteria
Description: partial 16S ribosomal RNA
Rfam family: Bacterial small subunit ribosomal RNA
Source: RNAcentral
UACGGAGGGUGCGAGCGUUGUCCGGAAUCACUGGGCGUAAAGGGCGCGUAGGCGGCUUGUACAGUCAGACGUGAAAUUCCUGGGCUCAACCUGGGGCUGCGUUUGAUACGUAUGGGCUUGAGUUCGGAAGAGGGUCGUGGAAUUCCCAGUGUAGAGGUGAAAUUCGUAGAUAUUGGGAAGAACACCGGUGGCGAAGGCGGCGACCUGGUCCGAUACUGACGCUGAGGCGCGAAAGCGUGGGGAGCAAACAGG